CCUACGGGCGGCAGCAGUGGGGAAUAUUGCUCAAUGGGCGAAAGCCUGAACCAGCCACGCCGCGUGGAGGAUGAAGGUUUUCGGAUUUUAAACUCCUUUUUUUAGAGAAGAUAAUGACGGUAUCUAACGUGUAAGCUCCGUCUAACUCCGUGCCAGCAGCCGCGGUAAUACGGAGGAUGCGAGCGUUAUCCGGAUUUUUGGGGUUUAAAGGGUGCGAAGGCGGAAGAUAAAGUAGGCGGUAAAAUUGAUAGGCUAAACCUAUUAGAGCAGUUGAAACUGGUUGUCUUGAGUGAGCGAGAGGUAGGCGGAAUGCGUGGUGUAGCGGUGAAAUGCAUAGAUAUCACGCAGAACUCCGAUUGCGAAGGCAGCAUACCGGAGCGCAACUGACGCUCAUGCACGAAAGUGUGGGUAUCGAACAGGAUUAGAUACCCGAGUAGUC
Molecule: ribosomal RNA, 439 nt
Filed under: uncultured bacterium
Lineage: Bacteria
Description: partial 16S ribosomal RNA
Rfam family: Bacterial small subunit ribosomal RNA
Source: RNAcentral